RNAcentral lists this transfer RNA (77 nucleotides) under Parvularcula marina. Its description in RNAcentral is "Parvularcula sp. SM1705 tRNA-Arg". It matches the Rfam family "tRNA". From Rfam's summary of the family: Transfer RNA (tRNA) molecules are approximately 80 nucleotides in length. Their secondary structure includes four short double-helical elements and three loops (D, anti-codon, and T loops). Further hydrogen bonds mediate the characteristic L-shaped molecular structure. tRNAs have two regions of fundamental functional importance: the anti-codon, which is responsible for specific mRNA codon recognition, and the 3' end, to which the tRNAs corresponding amino acid is attached (by aminoacyl-tRNA synthetases). tRNAs cope with the degeneracy of the genetic code in two manners: having more than one tRNA (with a specific anti-codon) for a particular amino acid; and 'wobble' base-pairing, i.e. permitting non-standard base-pairing at the 3rd anti-codon position. The record is from RNAcentral. Lineage: Bacteria; Pseudomonadati; Pseudomonadota; Alphaproteobacteria; Parvularculales; Parvularculaceae.
GGCCCCGUAGCUCAGCUGGAUAGAGCACCGGACUUCUAAUCCGACGGUCGUGGGUUCGAAUCCUACCGGGGUCGCCA